AGAGUUUGAUCCUGGCUCAGAACGAACGCUGGCGGCGUGGAUAAGACAUGCAAGUCGAACGAGAGAAUUGCUAGCUUGCUAAUAAUUCUCUAGUGGCGCACGGGUGAGUAACACGUGAGUAACCUGCCCCCGAGAGCGGGAUAGCCCUGGGAAACUGGGAUUAAUACCGCAUAGUAUCGAAAGAUUAAAGCAGCAAUGCGCUUGGGGAUGGGCUCGCGGCCUAUUAGUUAGUUGGUGAGGUAACGGCUCACCAAGGCGAUGACGGGUAGCCGGUCUGAGAGGAUGUCCGGCCACACUGGAACUGAGACACGGUCCAGACACCUACGGGUGGCAGCAGUCGAGAAUCAUUCACAAUGGGGGAAACCCUGAUGGUGCGACGCCGCGUGGGGGAAUGAAGGUCUUCGGAUUGUAAACCCCUGUCAUGUGGGAGCAAAUUAAAAAGAUAGUACCACAAGAGGAAGAGACGGCUAACUCUGUGCCAGCAGCCGCGGUAAUACAGAGGUCUCAAGCGUUGUUCGGAAUCACUGGGCGUAAAGCGUGCGUAGGCUGUUUCGUAAGUCGUGUGUGAAAGGCGCGGGCUCAACCCGCGGACGGCACAUGAUACUGCGAGACUAGAGUAAUGGAGGGGGAACCGGAAUUCUCGGUGUAGCAGUGAAAUGCGUAGAUAUCGAGAGGAACACUCGUGGCGAAGGCGGGUUCCUGGACAUUAACUGACGCUGAGGCACGAAGGCCAGGGGAGCGAAAGGGAUUAGAUACCCCUGUAGUCCUGGCAGUAAACGGUGCACGCUUGGUGUGCGGGGAAUCGACCCCCUGCGUGCCGGAGCUAACGCGUUAAGCGUGCCGCCUGGGGAGUACGGUCGCAAGAUUAAAACUCAAAGAAAUUGACGGGGACCCGCACAAGCGGUGGAGUAUGUGGCUUAAUUCGAUGCAACGCGAAGAACCUUACCUGGGCUUGACAUGUAAUGAACAACAUGUGAAAGCAUGCGACUCUUCGGAGGCGUUACACAGGUGCUGCAUGGCCGUCGUCAGCUCGUGUCGUGAGAUGUUUGGUUAAGUCCAGCAACGAGCGCAACCCCUGUUGCCAGUUACCAGCACGUGAAGGUGGGGACUCUGGCGAGACUGCCCAGAUCAACUGGGAGGAAGGUGGGGACGACGUCAGGUCAGUAUGGCCCUUAUGCCCAGGGCUGCACACGUACUACAAUGCCCAGUACAGAGGGGGCCGAAGCCGCGAGGCGGAGGAAAUCCUAAAAACUGGGCCCAGUUCGGACUGUAGGCUGCAACCCGCCUACACGAAGCCGGAAUCGCUAGUAAUGGCGCAUCAGCUACGGCGCCGUGAAUACGUUCCCGGGUCUUGUACACACCGCCCGUCACAUCAUGGAAGCCGGUCGCACCCGAAGUAUCUGAAGCCAACCGCAAGGAGGCAGGGUCCUAAGGUGAGACUGGUAACUGGGAUGAAGUCGUAACAAGGUAGCCG
RNAcentral lists this ribosomal RNA (1474 nucleotides) under uncultured bacterium. Its description in RNAcentral is "16S ribosomal RNA". It matches the Rfam family "Bacterial small subunit ribosomal RNA". The record is from RNAcentral.